This 462-nucleotide ribosomal RNA is filed under the name uncultured bacterium. Its description in RNAcentral is "partial 16S ribosomal RNA". It matches the Rfam family "Bacterial small subunit ribosomal RNA", at positions 28 to 507 of the family's 1533-position model. The record is from RNAcentral.
GACGAACGCUGGCGGCGUGCUUAACACAUGCAAGUCGAACGGAAAGGCCCUUCGGGGUACUUGAGUGGCGAACGGGUGAGUAACACGUGGGUGAUCUGCCCUGCACUUUGGGAUAAGCCUGGGAAACUGGGUCUAAUACCGAAUAGGACCACGCGCUUCAUGGUGUGUGGUGGAAAGCUUUUGCGGUGUGGGAUGGGCCCGCGGCCUAUCAGCUUGUUGGUGGGGUAAUGGCCUACCAAGGCGACGACGGGUAGCCGGCCUGAGAGGGUGACCGGCCACACUGGGACUGAGAUACGGCCCAGACUCCUACGGGAGGCAGCAGUGGGGAAUAUUGCACAAUGGGCGCAAGCCUGAUGCAGCGACGCCGCGUGAGGGAUGACGGCCUUCGGGUUGUAAACCUCUUUCACCAGGGACGAAGCGUAAGUGACGGUACCUGGAGAAGAAGCACCGGCCAACUACGUG